AAUAAAGAAAAAACCUCUUUCUGUAUAAUGCCGAUAAUAAGGUUCGGCAGUUUCUACCAAACAGCCGUAAACUGUUUGACUACAGUAAGAGGGGUCUGAGAU
This 102-nucleotide non-coding RNA is filed under the name Petrotoga mobilis. Its description in RNAcentral is "Guanine sequence". It matches the Rfam family "Purine riboswitch aptamer". Rfam says of the family: Riboswitches are metabolite binding domains within certain messenger RNAs that serve as precision sensors for their corresponding targets. Allosteric rearrangement of mRNA structure is mediated by ligand binding, and this results in modulation of gene expression. A class of riboswitches that selectively recognises guanine and becomes saturated at concentrations as low as 5 nM. RNAcentral also lists the same sequence under 1 other name. Lineage: Bacteria; Thermotogati; Thermotogota; Thermotogae; Petrotogales; Petrotogaceae. The record is from RNAcentral.